This is a non-coding RNA of Hydra vulgaris (swiftwater hydra), 2498 nucleotides long. Lineage: Eukaryota; Metazoa; Cnidaria; Hydrozoa; Anthoathecata; Hydridae. The record is from RefSeq and is a predicted model, not a curated record.
AUAUAUAUAUAUAUAUAUAUAUAUUUGUUUAAAUAAAACUGAUAUAAGUUGUUUGAAAUAGUUGAUUGUUUAGAUGCACAAGCUAUUGAAAGCUUAUAUGAAAAAUUAAGUUGACACUAUGGAGAAUACAAUAGACAAUUUAGUUAACGCUUUGAAACCUUCAUCAAGUUCCUCAAGAAAGUUUUUCAUGGUAAAAUGGUAGUUCAGUGGUCUAUUCAGGCAGCACGUAGAAAACAAAUAAAAACUCGACUAUUCUGAAAUUAGAGCUGAGAUUUCUAUACCAAUAAUAUUGAUAUCAAUCAAUAAUGGUUUAGUUAACUAUAAUCAACUGUUGUAUUUUUUGUUUAUUUUGCAUUUUUCAAUAAUUUUCUUUUACUUAUAAUAUGCUAUCGAUUAUACUCUACAGAAUAUAAUCGUUUUUAUUUGCAAAGUAUGACUUCGCUUGAAAAAUUUUCCUAUUUUUUUGUAAAAUUAUUAAUUUAUUUAAAUAUAUCAUAUUACACUUUACUUACUUUUAUUUCUCUUUAUACCUUUUAUUUCCUAAAUAAAUAUUAGACUAUAAAAAUAUUAAGACUAUAAAACGCCAAAAAUCAAUGAAAAAGAAAAAAGAAAGUUAGAGCAACAAUUAACAUAACUAUCAGUGAAAUUCUGAAUUUGUUUAAAAACUUAUCUACUAAGCAAAUUGAUGAUUUAAAUGAUGUUAUGUGUGAAAGAAUUGUUGGGAGAAAUUUUUGCCAUGAAUGGUAUGAUUCCGAUACAGCAAUGACAGUCUUGUAUAAUGGCAGAGUAGAAAAACUUAAAAAAGCACAGAAAGGCAUUAUAUACACUAUUUCUUAUUGGACUAGAGAAGAAAAUGAUACUGAAGCAGUUGAUUAUUAUAUGAAAAAAUUCCAGCUAGUUGCUGACAUUGUAUCCAGUCAGAGGGGGAACCAUCUAUAACUAUCACAAAGCAUUGUGUGAUGUAUUUUUAUGCAUUUUAAAGCAUUGUGUGAUGUUAGAGGGACACACCCUUUCUCUGAGUUACUGUGCGUCGCUAGUGUAAGUUGUAAUGUACUAAAAAUUAAUUUAUAUUUUUUAUACAAGGUUGAUUUUUUUAAUAAAGGUAAAAAAUACUGAUUUGGUAUAUAAAUAAGUAUUUGGGGGAAGUCUGAAAGGAAAUUAAAACAACUACUUUCAUAUGAAUAUUAAUUAAUAUUCACACUUUUAAUAAUAUAUUUAUGUUUGUUUAGAUUUAAGGUGAAGGGACACAUGCCCUCAAUUCGAUAUGCACGGCUAGUAUAUGUUCUAACCUAUUAUAAUAUAAUUUGUAUUUUAUUUAUUCUAUAUCUACUUUUUUUUAAAGAAAUUCAAAAAUAGUGUUUUAAAAUAAUCAUUUUCAAUUUUAGGGUGUUUACCCCUCUCCCACAUGCUCCCAUUUAUUAGGUCAGUCCUACCGCUUCUUCUGAAAAAACUCCUUAGUCGAAAAAAAAAAUUAAAUAAAAUUUUCUUUUAUCAACAGGGUCUUUUAAUAAUAGGGUGUUUACCCCUACUCACAUACACCCUGACUCUAAGAUGUACCUCUCGUAUUGGUCUAGAAAGAAAUUAAAACAACUACUUGCAUAUAGAAAAAUAAAAAACAGUUUUUUUUUAAAAAAAUUUAUUGGUAAAAAAUUGAUAUUAUGACAGUAAAGGUGGGGUUUGGGUGCUCCCUCUAGCCAACGGAUACGCCCUGAGGGUGCGUGCAAAUGUUAAUGUGUAGGUUACUCUUAUAUCUAUCUAUUGACACCAAGUUUUAAGGAUUUAGAUAGAGUUCGACAAAGUUUUAAUAAUUUUAGAAAAAAAAAAACUUUAUUUUGACCACAGUUUUAUCAACAAGUCCAUAUAUCCAAAAAUCGGUACUUAAAACGUCAUAACUUUUUUUGAAAUUAUUCGAUUUUGAAAAUUUUUUCACUUUUAAAUUAUUUAAAUGAAGCUCUUUCUAAUGAUAUAUAACAAUCUAGAAUUUAUUCAAUUUAAAUUUUUCAUGUAGCAUACCUAUCUAUAUGAAUAUCCAAGUUGUAGCAACAAUAAAAUACGUUCUUUAGUAUUUUUUUGAUUUUUUUUUUGUCAAAAUGCUUUGUUUACAUAAAUCUUUUUUUUUAGCUAACUGCUUUAAAUAUGUGAUUAAAUUAUAAAUAAUAUCGUUAAAUAUUGUUUAAACAAAAAGUAAUCAAGUUUCAAAAGUGUUUCUAUUUCAAUGUCACAAGACUGUAUAUGAAUUACAUCUUAAUCUCUCUCUCUCUCUUUCUCUAUUAUAAAUAUAUAAUAAAUAUAUUUAUAAUAGAGAUAUAUAUCUCUCUCUUUCUCUAUUAUAAAUAUAUAAAAAAAAAAAGGAUCCAAGAUAGGUAUUGUACUUUGGCUUUUAACAAUUUUUAACUUGAGCAUAAAAAAAAUAAAUCUUUUUUUAAAAAUGGUAAAAGGUUUUUUAUUAAUUAUAUAUUUAUUUUAUUAGUGAUGACAAUGAACCAGAUAAGUAAAAA